GUGCACAUGGCUGGGGACACCGGGAUGGCUGGGAAGGUGGCACUGCUCCUGUGGGCCCAGACCCUCAGCCUUGCUGGUGCCCAGACCACCCAGCUCCUGGUGGAGCCCCCCUGGAGGCCGGCGGUGCUGUGGGAC
Melospiza melodia melodia is the source of this 135-nucleotide long non-coding RNA. RefSeq lists it as uncharacterized. The transcript is spliced from 3 exons. The record is from RefSeq and is a predicted model, not a curated record. NCBI's taxonomy places the organism in Eukaryota, Metazoa, Chordata, Aves, Passeriformes, Passerellidae.